Calypte anna (Anna's hummingbird) is the source of this 224-nucleotide long non-coding RNA. RefSeq lists it as uncharacterized. The record is from RefSeq and is a predicted model, not a curated record. NCBI's taxonomy places the organism in Eukaryota, Metazoa, Chordata, Aves, Apodiformes, Trochilidae. The transcript is spliced from 3 exons.
AUGAGAAUUUGGACUUGAAUUCCACAAAAGAUGUUCAUGAAGGAACACACAUCCCCCUAAGGAGCCAUCAGGCGAGUGGAGACCAAGAACAUCCAUGAAAAGGCUGUCUGGUUGGGAUUGCAUCCAUGAGCCAACACAGUCGUUCGCAAGCAGGCCUCAGACCUGUGACCACUCAGCUGCAGGUGAAUGAAUUCCUGCACCCGGCGCCUCCUGCCCCUCUCCCU